Molecule: small RNA, 95 nt
Filed under: Arabidopsis thaliana (thale cress)
Lineage: Eukaryota; Viridiplantae; Streptophyta; Magnoliopsida; Brassicales; Brassicaceae
Description: ATSL057840
Source: RNAcentral
AGCUCAGUUGGUAGAGCGGAGGACUGUAGUUGACGCAGAUAAUCCUUAGGUCACUGGUUCGAAUUUGGUAGGUCGGAUCAUUAAAAUUGAAAGUU